GCAUAAUCACUUGUCCCUUAAAUCGGGACUGGAAUGAACGGCUAAAUGAGGACUAAACUGUCUCUUACAGGCCAGCCAAUGAAAUUGAUUUUCCAGUACAAAAGCUGGGAUAAACCCACAAGACGAGAAGACCCUGUGGAGCUUACAAACCAAAUUCACCAAGUAUGUCUACCGGUUUUCAGUUGGGGCGACUUCGGAGUACAAAAUAACCUCCAAACAUAAAACUAAUUAAGAACAACAUAUCAAAAUAUACUCAUAAUGACCCAGCAACCUUACGGUUGUCUGAUUAAUGAACCAAGUUACCCCAGGGAUAACAGCGCCAUCCCCUUCUAGAGUCCCUAUCGACAAGGGGGUUUACGACCUCGAUGUUGGAUCAGGACACCCCAAUGGUGCAGCCGCCAUUAACGGUUCGUUUGUUCAACGAUUAAAGUCCAACGUGAU
RNAcentral lists this ribosomal RNA (441 nucleotides) under Anatololacerta sp. CI-2014a. RNAcentral's name for it is "partial 16S ribosomal RNA". It matches the Rfam family "Archaeal large subunit ribosomal RNA", at positions 2036 to 2673 of the family's 2987-position model. The record is from RNAcentral. RNAcentral also lists the same sequence under 1 other name. Lineage: Eukaryota; Metazoa; Chordata; Lepidosauria; Squamata; Lacertidae.